This 144-nucleotide non-coding RNA is filed under the name Pteridomonas danica. The record is from RNAcentral. Lineage: Eukaryota; Dictyochophyceae; Pedinellales.
UGAUGCUCUUCGAAUGUUAUCAUUAACUUAUCAAACAGGCUUGAUGAAGCCGCCAUUGUAAUUAUGUGAUGACACACACACAACUGAAAUGAAGCCGGGCCCGUGUAGAGACAGCGACUCUCUUUUGUUUGUUGUUUUGGUUGG